This 1341-nucleotide ribosomal RNA is filed under the name Staphylococcus aureus. Its description in RNAcentral is "partial 23S ribosomal RNA". It matches the Rfam family "Bacterial large subunit ribosomal RNA", at positions 1582 to 2925 of the family's 2925-position model. Lineage: Bacteria; Bacillati; Bacillota; Bacilli; Caryophanales; Staphylococcaceae. The record is from RNAcentral.
GUCUUCGAGUCGUUGAUUUCACACUGCCGAGAAAAGCCUCUAGAUAGAAAAUAGGUGCCCGUACCGCAAACCGACACAGGUAGUCAAGAUGAGAAUUCUAAGGUGAGCGAGCGAACUCUCGUUAAGGAACUCGGCAAAAUGACCCCGUAACUUCGGGAGAAGGGGUGCUCUUUAGGGUUAACGCCCAGAAGAGCCGCAGUGAAUAGGCCCAAGCGACUGUUUAUCAAAAACACAGGUCUCUGCUAAACCGUAAGGUGAUGUAUAGGGGCUGACGCCUGCCCGGUGCUGGAAGGUUAAGAGGAGUGGUUAGCUUCUGCGAAGCUACGAAUCGAAGCCCCAGUAAACGGCGGCCGUAACUAUAACGGUCCUAAGGUAGCGAAAUUCCUUGUCGGGUAAGUUCCGACCCGCACGAAAGGCGUAACGAUUUGGGCACUGUCUCAACGAGAGACUCGGUGAAAUCAUAGUACCUGUGAAGAUGCAGGUUACCCGCGACAGGACGGAAAGACCCCGUGGAGCUUUACUGUAGCCUGAUAUUGAAAUUCGGCACAGCUUGUACAGGAUAGGUAGGAGCCUUUGAAACGUGAGCGCUAGCUUACGUGGAGGCGCUGGUGGGAUACUACCCUAGCUGUGUUGGCUUUCUAACCCGCACCACUUAUCGUGGUGGGAGACAGUGUCAAGCGGGCAGUUUGACUGGGGCGGUCGCCUCCUAAAAGGUAACGGAGGCGCUCAAAGGUUCCCUCAGAAUGGUUGGAAAUCAUUCAUAGAGUGUAAAGGCAUAAGGGAGCUUGACUGCGAGACCUACAAGUCGAGCAGGGUCGAAAGACGGACUUAGUGAUCCGGUGGUUCCGCAUGGAAGGGCCAUCGCUCAACGGAUAAAAGCUACCCCGGGGAUAACAGGCUUAUCUCCCCCAAGAGUUCACAUCGACGGGGAGGUUUGGCACCUCGAUGUCGGCUCAUCGCAUCCUGGGGCUGUAGUCGGUCCCAAGGGUUGGGCUGUUCGCCCAUUAAAGCGGUACGCGAGCUGGGUUCAGAACGUCGUGAGACAGUUCGGUCCCUAUCCGUCGUGGGCGUAGGAAAUUUGAGAGGAGCUGUCCUUAGUACGAGAGGACCGGGAUGGACAUACCUCUGGUGUACCAGUUGUCGUGCCAACGGCAUAGCUGGGUAGCUAUGUGUGGACGGGAUAAGUGCUGAAAGCAUCUAAGCAUGAAGCCCCCCUCAAGAUGAGAUUUCCCAACUUCGGUUAUAAGAUCCCUCAAAGAUGAUGAGGUUAAUAGGUUCGAGGUGGAAGCAUGGUGACAUGUGGAGCUGACGAAUACUAAUCGAUCGAAGACUUAAUCAAAA